This 257-nucleotide ribosomal RNA is filed under the name uncultured bacterium. RNAcentral describes it as "partial 16S ribosomal RNA". It matches the Rfam family "Bacterial small subunit ribosomal RNA", at positions 523 to 776 of the family's 1533-position model. The record is from RNAcentral.
GAGCGUAGGGCGCGAGCGUUUGUCCGGAUUUAUUGGGCGUAAAGAGCUCGUAGGCGGCUUGUCGCGUCGACUGUGAAAGCCCCGCGGCUCAACCGCGGGUCUGCAGUCGAUACGGGCAGGCUAGAGUUCGGUAGGGGAGACUGGAAUUCCUGGUGUAGCGGUGAAAUGCGCAGAUAGUCAGGAGGAACACCGAUGGCGAAGGCAGGUCUCUGGGCCGAUACUGACGCUGAGGAGCGAAAGCGUGGGGAGCGAACAGG